AUUUAAGGCUUGCAAGCCUAAAAUUCGUAUAGUGGGACUUAUAAAAAACUACUGUUAAAAUUAACUGUACUCCACUGUUCAAAUCAACAAUUUUGUACUGUUAAAACGGGGCCAAGUAAAAAAACAGUGUUUUAACGGAUUUGAACGGUGGAGUAUAGUUAAUUUCAGCAGUAUUUUUUUGUAAGUCCAGCGGUACAAAUUUUAGGUUUACAAACCCAAUGGUACGAAUUUUAGGUAUACAAGCCUUACGGAUUUCUCUGAUAUACGAGUAACCACUUUUUAAUACCAAUUUAGUCCACUCCAGCGCUUGCUAUGUUUAAUGCUGAGAUGCUCCCAGGAGGCGUGUCUUAGCUUGGUCGAGUAGAAGGAAGAUCGUCGACGCGCGUGUCGGAGGAGCGGGGCAGGGGUUGGCCGCUUCGGUAGACGUCUUGGGGUCUCUUGAAGACCUUCGUUCGGAGUCGGGGGGAACUAAUAAGGGAGCUUUGGGAUCUAGGGGUUUGGGUGCGCCGGUGGAGGAGUACCUAGUAGGUACCGCGAAGCGUCGACCGCGGCCGUUGCUGGAGACGGGGCAGACGUGGCGCGGGGUGAAGGGGAAAACGGGCGGAGGCGGAGAGGGCGGGGUGGGGAAAGGGAUGCUAGAGGUGGGUGGCGGGGGAGGAGGGGGCGGGGUCAUGGUACGGGGGAAGGUGGGCGGCGGCGGCGGUGGCGGCUACACCCGAGGAGGCCCCGGCGUGGGCAUGCUAGAGGAGCUGUGCCUUCCAGGGGUGUUCUCCUACGCGCACCCCCUCCGCGGAGGCAAGAGGCCGGGCGGGGGAGGGAUGGGCGGUUACAACCCGUCCCGAAGGCACCUCCCUCUCGCCGACGAGCCCGACUAGGCCCUCGUACCGGUACCGGCGCGAGUCGACGGCGGACGUGUCACCGUACCGCUUGGCAUAGGUGGGCUACCAAAGCCGGUACCUCCUCUACCCCGAAUAGGAGGAGUAGUUUUAAUAUUAUUGGGGAUACGCGUCCCUCCGUUAAAGUGACUAAUGCUAGAGCAGUCUUCCUACGGUGGAGGCGGCUACGGCAAACUAUCCAUAUCACGGAAUCUAAGACAACCUCCUAGAGUCCUCUUCAUAAAGCUGGUGGUAGUGGUAGUAGUCAAAGUGGGACUUCGUAACGGCCCACGAGGUGGUGAUGGUGUUGUACGACUCCGUCCUUUGGUAAUACUAAGGGCGCUAACCGCAGUAGUACGCCCACAACACGGCGGUGGUGGUCUAGGAGGUUACGGAAGAUGGGGUCUAAUGGUACGUUACGGUGGAGACGUCCGUCGUUUGAGCAGCAACAAAGGACAGGAGAGGUCAAGGGGCCGAUGAUGUAGUGAAGGUGGGUCACUAUUAUGGAACGUAGUAAGGGUGGACUACGGUUUGCGUUUAAUAAUGUUACCUGGGUUGUUUUUACUCCCCCAUCUAAAGCAUGUAGCCGUUGUUAGCCUCGUCGUAGACCUCCUAUCUUACGGUUGUGUCCUGUUUGUAAGAAAAUUGUUACACCUUCAGUUAUAACAAUUACGUACGCUGAACAAGUUCGUCGGGGAAGCGCGAAGUGCGGGACUAGUAUAACAAUAGUAGGACGCUCCCGAAGGUCCAUCACCUUUCUCGAUGGAACGCUUCCGUAACGCACUAGAACUUCAACUCUCACCACCUUCACGUGGGUCUUAAGUGAGCUACCUACUGAUAAAGUACUAACUCCAACUCUUCUUCCAGCUUCUGUUGCUUCCCAGAUUUAGAAGAUGACGUAGGUUUCCUGCCUUUGUCAACUGGUUCUUUCACUAACUUAUAACAAUACUCGGACUUUACCUCCUCUGGAUGUCUAGUUCGUACAAUUUGCGCAAAUUCUUCUGGGAACUACUUCCCUUAAAGUGUAAACACUAACACCUACUGGCGUUAGACGCCCAUCGACUAAAACGAGUUAAAACCCGUUCGCGCUUCUCUAGACCGAUACUCCAGAUGAACGAGCUCCGUGGUAUGUUCCUAGGUUGUCCGACACGACGAUCCUUACACGUACCCAAAUGUAACCUACUAUAGUUUUUCUACCGUCGACUGACCCUCCUCCGAGGUGGUGAUAUACACGCUGAUCUAUGGGUAAGAAAUAAGGUACCACUGUUAGAAGUACUCGUAAGAUAUGUUCUCCAACUAUACCUGUGUCUCCUAUGACUACUACGACUACUAUGCCGUCAAUUGUGGGUCAGACCUUCGAGUUUCUUCCGAUAUGGACUUAGUCGUCUACUACAUGGACUAGUUCCCCUGUUCACCCUAAGUAGUCUACUUCUUCUGAAUCUACUGUAAUUUCUCGAUCCUGUCUCGUUUACCAGUUUUCUAAAACUACUCCUAUGACUGUCCAGGUUCGUACGUCUACCUUCAUGUGUAUGAGAAAGACCCGACCGGUUCUGUAUACCGUGAGUAGUUUUUUGUGAAUGAACCCCACUAGCCGAACUUUUCCCACCUAAAAGAUAGCCACGUCGGUUUUCCUCUGGGUGAAGUAGAAAUUAGUAUCCUGGACCUAGUCCCAUGUUAAACCAGAGGUUGGGGAACCGACUUCUAUUAAGGUGUCCGCACUUCCUAUUUCAUUUGUUACUUUGUUUUUCUGCCAAGUCACUCGUUGAAGCACUACUUCCAGUUAGGAAGUCCCGUCAAAAACUGGUCUCUUUUGUCGCGUAACCCCAAAAGCUGUUGCCCUUUUUACUCAUUAGGCACUGACUCUUCGGACCUACCGUUGGACGUCAACAUACCCGGAGACCCAUGAGUUUGCAACGGGUCCCAGUUCGUCUCGUGUCCGUCGAGCCUCAGGACAACGAGGUAACGGUAACCGUAUAACGUCAAGAUUCUAAACGGCCCGUGUAUAUCCGAAGAGCAAUGACGGACGAUAGUCAGGGGUGUUCCGCGUUAACUUCCUUCGUAGUGAAAGACGAACACGAUAAACAGAAAACCGGGUGUACUUCUUCACCACUCUUCAACCAAGGGAACUAAACAACGUCCGAACAUCGACGUUUGAGUGAUACUAGGAGAACCGUUACGCUUUAGGAAAAAAACCCUGAUCGGUAAAGUUCUCGUUGGGGUGUUCUACAUACAUAACACUUGUGACUUAUUACUGUAUCAGGAACUUGUUCCAUACCUCGUGUAUUACUGACCCUCCCUUAGCCUGUAGUCACCCACACAAGAAUUGUACUCUACCUUUGCAAAUUUAUAACUUACUUUGUUGGAGUCAAAAA
This 3247-nucleotide ribosomal RNA is filed under the name Triticum aestivum (bread wheat). RNAcentral's name for it is "partial small subunit ribosomal RNA". Lineage: Eukaryota; Viridiplantae; Streptophyta; Magnoliopsida; Poales; Poaceae. The record is from RNAcentral.